UCCGAUUUCUAGAGAAACUCCUACUCCCAG
Molecule: non-coding RNA, 30 nt
Filed under: Mus musculus (house mouse)
Lineage: Eukaryota; Metazoa; Chordata; Mammalia; Rodentia; Muridae
Source: RNAcentral